RNAcentral lists this small nuclear RNA (288 nucleotides) under Nannospalax galili (Upper Galilee mountains blind mole rat). RNAcentral describes it as "7SK RNA (ENSNGAG00000004616.1)". It matches the Rfam family "7SK RNA". Rfam says of the family: 7SK was discovered as an abundant small nuclear RNA in the mid-70s but a possible function has only recently been suggested. The record is from Rfam by way of RNAcentral. Lineage: Eukaryota; Metazoa; Chordata; Mammalia; Rodentia; Spalacidae.
GAAUGUGAGGGUGAUCCGGUUGUCAUACCUGUCAGCCCAUUGACCAGCAAAGCUGAUUGGGUUGAACUGGCUGGCUAGCAGGUGUCCCUGUCCUUCCUUACUACUCCAUGAGCAUCCCUCCCAGAGCUGUCAAAGAAAAUGACCUUCCCCAACAGAAGCAGACAAUUCUUCAGUCAAGGUCAUACGAGCAGCUCAGUAACUUGCUUGACACUUGAAACAAGCUCUCAAGAAGUGCUUGCUUUCUAGUCCUGCCACAUCCUAGAUAUAUGGAUUUUCACAAUUUUCUUG